Molecule: long non-coding RNA, 555 nt
Filed under: Homo sapiens (human)
Lineage: Eukaryota; Metazoa; Chordata; Mammalia; Primates; Hominidae
Description: non-protein coding lnc-NANS-3:1
Source: RNAcentral
AUGCGGCGCACAUCUCCUGCCUGCUGUACUAGUUCCAUUUGCUCUUUUGGAAGCAGGAGCUAGAACUGACGCUUGUGGGGCUACAGGACUUAGGCCAAGACCAGCUUUGUGAAUAUCACUGCGUCAGGUCAAUUUAGUGAAAACAUGAUACCCACAGUGAGCUUCGACACGAGGAAAGUAACUAAAGGUAACAUCACAGUAAAGAUCUGGGACAUAGGAGGACAACCCCAAUUUCGGAGCAUGUAGGAACUAUAUUGCUUAGGAGUCAACGCUAUUGUUUACAUAACAGAUGGUGCAGAUCGUGAGAAGAUAGAGGCCUUGAGAAAUGAGCUACGUAAUCUAGAUAAACCACAGUUACAAGGAAUUCCAGUGCUAGUACUUGGAAGCAAGAGAGAGAUCUUUCUAAUGCCUUGGAUGAGAAACAGCUAAUUGAAAAAAUGAAUGUCUGCUAUUCAGGAUAAAGAAAUGUGCUACUAUUCAAUUUUUUGCAAAGAAAAGGAUAAUGUAGGUAUCACACUUCAAUGAUUUAUUCGACAUUCAAAAUCUAGAAGCUGA